AGCACUAAAGCACCGGAUCCCAUCAGAACUCCGAAGUUAAGCGUGCUU
Non-coding RNA from Triticum aestivum (bread wheat), 48 nucleotides. Lineage: Eukaryota; Viridiplantae; Streptophyta; Magnoliopsida; Poales; Poaceae. The record is from Rfam.